RNAcentral lists this ribosomal RNA (440 nucleotides) under uncultured bacterium. RNAcentral's name for it is "bacterial SSU rRNA". It matches the Rfam family "Bacterial small subunit ribosomal RNA", at positions 338 to 795 of the family's 1533-position model. The record is from RNAcentral.
CCUANGGGGGGCAGCAGUGGGGAAUAUUGGACAAUGGGCGAAAGCCUGAUCCAGCAAUGCCGCGUGAGUGAUGAAGGCCCUAGGGUUGUAAAGCUCUUUUACCCGGGAAGAUAAUGACUGUACCGGGAGAAUAAGCCCCGGCUAACUCCGUGCCAGCAGCCGCGGUAAUACGGAGGGGGCUAGCGUUGUUCGGAAUUACUGGGCGUAAAGCGCACGUAGGCGGCUUUGUAAGUUAGAGGUGAAAGCCCGGGGCUCAACCCCGGAAUAGCCUUUAAGACUGCAUCGCUUGAACACGGGAGAGGUGAGUGGAAUUCCGAGUGUAGAGGUGAAAUUCGUAGAUAUUCGGAAGAACACCAGUGGCGAAGGCGGCUCACUGGACCGUUGUUGACGCUGAGGUGCGAAAGCGUGGGGAGCAAACAGGAUUAGAUACCCUUNUANUC